AGGACGAACGCUGGCGGCGUGCUUAACACAUGCAAGUCGAGCGGAAAGGCCCUUCGGGGUACUCGAGCGGCGAACGGGUGAGUAACACGUGAGCAACCUGCCCUUAGCUUCGGGAUAGCUCCGGGAAACCGGAAUUAAUACCGAAUAUGAAUGCGGCUGACAUCAGCCACAUUGGAAAGUUUUCGGCUAGGGAUGGACUCGCGGCCUAUCAGCUAGUUGGUGAGGUAACGGCCCACCAAGGCGACGACGGGUA
Molecule: ribosomal RNA, 253 nt
Filed under: uncultured bacterium
Lineage: Bacteria
Description: partial small subunit ribosomal RNA
Rfam family: Bacterial small subunit ribosomal RNA
Source: RNAcentral